CCGAGUUUACAACUCCCAAACCCCUGUGAAACAUACCACUUGUUGCCUCGGGCGGAUCAGCCCGCUCCCGGUAAAACGGACACGGCCCGCCCAGAGGACCCCCCUAAACUCUGUUUCUAUAUGUAACUUCUGAGUAAAACCAUAAAUAAAUCA
RNAcentral lists this unclassified non-coding RNA (153 nucleotides) under soil metagenome. RNAcentral's name for it is "partial internal transcribed spacer 1". The record is from RNAcentral.